Molecule: ribosomal RNA, 379 nt
Filed under: uncultured eukaryote
Lineage: Eukaryota
Description: partial 18S ribosomal RNA
Rfam family: Eukaryotic small subunit ribosomal RNA
Source: RNAcentral
CAAUAGCGUAUAUUAAAGUUGUUGCGGUAAAAAAGCUCGUAGUUGGAUUUCUGUUGAGAGCGACCGGUCCAUACCAUGUAUGCGUAUCUGGCUUGCUCUCGGCAUCCUCUCGAUAGACGUUACUGCGCUUGAUUGCGUGGCGCGGAUCUCGGGACUUUUACUUUGAGGAAAUUAGAGUGUUCACGGCAGGCUUUCGCCAGAAUACAUUAGCAUGGAAUAAUACUAUAGGAUCUUGGUUCUAUUUUGUUGGUUUCUAGAAUUGAGAUAAUGAUUAAUAGGGACAAUUGGGGGCAUUCGUAUCAACACGUCAGAGGUGGAAUUCUUGGAUUGUGUUGCGACGAACUACUGCGAAAGCAUUUGCCAAGGAUGUUUUCAUUGA